This 75-nucleotide transfer RNA is filed under the name Nanobdellota archaeon. Its description in RNAcentral is "tRNA-Ile". It matches the Rfam family "tRNA". From Rfam's summary of the family: Transfer RNA (tRNA) molecules are approximately 80 nucleotides in length. The record is from RNAcentral. Lineage: Archaea; Nanobdellati; Nanobdellota.
GACCCCAUGGCUUAGCCUGGCUAUAGCACUCGACUGAUAAUCGAGAGGUCGUGAGUUCAAAUCUCACUGGGGUCA